This 439-nucleotide ribosomal RNA is filed under the name uncultured bacterium. Its description in RNAcentral is "partial 16S ribosomal RNA". It matches the Rfam family "Bacterial small subunit ribosomal RNA", at positions 338 to 795 of the family's 1533-position model. The record is from RNAcentral.
CCUACGGAGGCUGCAGUGGGGGAUAUUGCACAAUUGGGGGAACCCUGAUGCAGCGACGCCGCGUGGGCGAUGGAGUGCUUCGGCAUGUAAAGACCUAUCAGCAGGGAAGAAAAUGACGGUACCUGACUAAGAAGCCCCGGCUAAAUACGUGCCAGCAGCCGCUGGAAUACGUGUGGGGCAAGCGUUAUCCGGGUUUACUGGAGGUAAAGGGAGCGUUGGCGGCCUGGAAAGGCUGAUGUGAAAUACCGGGGCCCAACCCCCGGGCUGCAGUGGGAACUGCCAGGCUGGAGUGCCGGAGAGGCAGGCGGAAUGCCUAGUGUAGCGGUGAAAUGCGUAGAUAUUAGGAGGAACACCAGUGGCGAAGGCGGCCUGCUGGACGGUGACUGACGCUGAGGCUCGAAAGCGUGGGGAGCAAACAGGAUUAGAUACCCUUGUAGUC